This 405-nucleotide small RNA is filed under the name uncultured bacterium. RNAcentral describes it as "bacterial LSU rRNA". The record is from RNAcentral.
CCGGAAGGUGCGGCUGGAUCACCUCCUUUCUAAGGAGCAACUGGCGCGCUCGCCGAGAUAAUCGGGGAUGUGCGUCCAGGACCAUUUCUCGGACGAAUGAGCCGGGGUGGUCGCUCGUUAGUGGAGCACUGGUUAUUCGGUUCGGGCUGCUGCCCGGGCUGGUUAGUACGCCCGCUGGGCGGCUGCGCAAGCAGCUGCUCGCGCAGCGGGACGGAAAGCUGGCCAGGGAGUCGUCCGGGCCGAGCACGCUGUUGGGUCCUGAGGGAACGGCCGCCAGUCGGCCUGACCUCGACUAGGACCGGGUCCCCCGCCGCAAGGCGUCUGGGGUCCGGGACCGCCCGUAUCUUGAGAACUGCACAGUGGACGCGAGCAUCAUCUGUAGUUGCCAAGUUAAUAAGGGCACAC